Molecule: long non-coding RNA, 2493 nt
Organism: Oncorhynchus gorbuscha (pink salmon)
Lineage: Eukaryota; Metazoa; Chordata; Actinopteri; Salmoniformes; Salmonidae
Exons: 3
Source: RefSeq, a predicted model, not a curated record
ACCACUAGUGCCUCCAGAACAAAAAACGCGUCUGUUUUGACCUGCUCAUGUUUUUGUUUACAUUUAAUCAAUAUAGAGUCUACUAAAUCAAAAGAAGCACAUCCUCAUAUUAACAUGAUGUUCUUGCCUUGUUAUGCUGUUUGUUAUAGAUCGGGCCUUUGUCCUUCAAGGCUUUGACAUGUGUGUUGUCAGAUUUCUAAUGGCUGAUGAAGGCUGGAUCGCUCCGUUAACGACUACAAGGACAAACAGUUUCCACUGACUCCCUAUUACUGCCCUUUCCACUCUUAAAGGCAGAUUAAAGAAAAGAACGGUCUCUCACAGAGCAAGUGUGGGCACCUCUGUCACCUGCAUGAACAUUCCCUUCAGGUUGGCGAUGACGAUGGCUGCCAGCACUGACUGUGGGAACCAUACAGAGCUGGAUUAGUGUGUUAGUCUACAGUGCGGCUGAGUCUCUCCCUCAGGGUCCUCUCCUCCCGGGCCUGCCUCUCGUUGUCCUCCUCAAACGUGGGGUUGGAGUAGAUGGGUCUGGACACGGUGUAUGGGUACAGGUUCUCUGGAGAGUGGGCAUCCAUACCGCUCCACCUGCUGAGGAGACAGACAUGAUGGCGAUGUUUACAUGGAACACAACCAGUGAGCACCAGUGCCUUCCCUUAUGAAGUGUAAACAUCUUGAGUUAGAAAGAGUUUCUGAAGAUUUGCUUGACAGAGAGAUAUACAAAUGGGAUAGAGCUGGUCUUUUUUUUUAAAUUUUACAAUCUUUAUUAAGAGCUGUCAUUUUAUUGUGAGGAACUGCAGUUUUAUCCGAUUUUUGUCCUCUGUUAUGUGAGUGAUCUUACAGACCUAUUCAAUCAAACCUGGCACUUCCAGGGUAGUGAGAAAAGCCUGUUUGAAUGUAUAUGCUCUUCUCGCUUUUAUUUCUCUCUGCUUGUCACCAUAUAGUUUGGGGAAUGGCACACAUAGCCAGCCAGUGAAACCUUUGCUUUAUCUUAUCAAGUGUGAAUUAUAAUGACACAACGAUUUUGUGACAAUAAAAAAAAUUAGGGACCUGAUAUAGUGACUGCAGAAAAAACAGGUGUCAGAUUUAACUGGGGAGCUUCCUCCAUGUUUUUAUCUAAGAGGCAAUUUGAUUUGUAUCUUUCCAAAACAGUCAAUAAAAUAUAAUUCAUUACAUGAUGUCUGAGUUUAUCACCAAGAUUACUCUGAGGUCAAAGGUCAAAAACACAAAACAGGACAGUACUAUAAUUUAGGCACAGUCAUGUUAGGCUAAAGUAUCCAUGAUUUCUAUAGUAGAUUCGUCUAAUAAUGUUUUUCUUCACACGUUGUGAUGUUUUUCAGGUUCUGUUAGAGGGAAACCCCCUCAUACAUGGUGUCAUUGAUUGCUACAGAGUGUUACAAUGGGACAGUUAGACAAAGUUUUGGUCAUAAGAUCUCCCUCUGUGUUUUUGACCUCAGUAGUACUGCUUGUUGGGUUUCAGCAUCGCACCAUAGCCAAGAGCAUCCUUAGCUUGAUCUCACCCCAAAGCUGUCACUAAGGAACAGGGUUACCAACGACAUAGCGGUGCCAGGCUAAGAAUACAUCCAAAACUCAGCAUAGCCUAGCCUAGCCUAGCCUAGCCUAGCCUAGCCUAGCCUAGCCUAGCCUAGCCUAGCCUAGCCUAGCCUAGGGUAAAAUCUGGGGAAAGCUAACCACAGUUAGGAAAUGUAAUUUUUAAAGCACAUUAGUCUGCGAGUUAAUAAGACACACUUUUGUGACAUAGGAAAACACUGGAUGGCCGGAUAGGGGUGGGUCUGAUAUUCUACACCUACACCUAAUAUGACACCAGAGGCUUGAGUGAAAGAUGGAGUUUGUGUUCAACACGGAACAAACUCUCUCUUUCAUUAACUGUAUAUUCACGAGUCAGUGGAUCAGAGCCAGAGUUGGGGGCUUGUCCCCCAAUCAAAACCAUUGUAAGUCGCUUUGAAUAAAAGCAUCAGCUAAAUGGCAUAUAUUAUUGUAAUUGUUAUAUAAAGGCCACCACCACAAGGUUUUGAAAAGGUGCACUACAGACCAACAUAGAUAUCCUUAUUUGAUAACCUCUAAUCAUUUUAAUUCAGUGUUCUAUUUUAGGAUAUUGCUUUAAUUAUUUUCUGAUUAUGUCUGAAGAACUGUGUUCACAAUUUGAUGAUGUUUGUCCAUUUUGUUUGGCUGGAUGACCACACAGUUGCAUAAAUAUUUACAAAUCCAUGAGUCACAAAUUAAAACAUAAAAAAAAAAAUUCUACUUCUACAAAAGUAUUGUGUCAUAAUCACUUACCUGAUCUCCUUGGGUAGUUGUUCUAUAUUCCAGAAUGUUGCUCCUUUUCAGAAGUGAAUAACAAAAGUACAUCCCACGAAUUGACCACAAACAUUACACAUCCUCUUUCAAACAGUCUAGGGCUAAUUCUUCAAUGUCAUACUCUCCUUCUCACUCUCUCUCUCUUUGUUUCUUAGAGCCCCAUCCCUGUGUGUGUUUGUG